UUGGAGGGCAAGUCUGGUGCCAGCAGCCGCGGUAAUUCCAGCUCCAAUAGCGUAUAUUAAAGUUGUUGCAGUUAAAAAGCUCGUAGUUGAAUUUCGGGGUCAGCAGGUUGGUCGUGCCACUGGUAUGCACUGGUCUCGCUGAUUCCUCCCUCUUGUAGAACCGUAAUGCCAUUAAGUUGGUGUUGCGGGGAAACAGGACUGUUACUUUGAAAAAAUUAGAGUGUUUAAAGCAAGCUAACGCUUGAAUACAUUAGCAUGGAAUAAUGAAAUAGGACGAUCGAUCCUAUUUUGUUGGUUUCUAGGGUUGACGUAAUGAUUAAUAGGGAUAGUUGGGGGCAUUAGUAUUCAAUUGUCAGAGGUGAAAUUCUUGGAUUUAUUGAAGACUGACUACUGCGAAAGCAUUUGCCAAGGAUGUUUUCAUUAAUCAAGAACGAAAGUUAGGGGAUCAAAGACGAUCAGAUACCGUCGUAGUCUUAACCAUAAACUAUGCCGACUAGGGAUCGGAUGAUGUUAAUUUUUUAAUGACUCAUUCGGCGCCUUACGGGAAAC
This 549-nucleotide ribosomal RNA is filed under the name uncultured Glomeromycotina. RNAcentral describes it as "SSU rRNA". It matches the Rfam family "Eukaryotic small subunit ribosomal RNA", at positions 548 to 1098 of the family's 1831-position model. Lineage: Eukaryota; Fungi; Glomeromycota. The record is from RNAcentral.